CCUACGGGAGGCAGCAGUAGGGAAUAUUGCUCAAUGGGGGAAACCCUGAAGCAGCAACGCCGCGUGGAGGAUGAAGGUUUUCGGAUUGUAAACUCCUUUUGUUAGAGAAGAUAAUGGCGGUAUCUAACGCAUAAGCACCGGCUAACUCCGUUCCAGCAGCCGCGGUAAUACGGAGGCUGCAAGCGUUACUCGGAAUUACUGGGCGUAAAGAGCGCGUAGGCGGGUUAGCAAGUCAGAUGUGAAAUCCUAUGGCUUAACCAUAGAACUGCAUUUGAAACUGUUAUUCUAGAGUAUAGGAGAGGUAGGUGGAAUUCUUGGUGUAGGGGUAAAAUCCGUAGAGAUCAAGAGGAAUACUGAUUGCGAAGGCGACUUGCUAGAACAUAACUGACGCUGAUGCGCGAAAGCGUGGGGAGCAAACAGGAUUAGAUACCCCUGUAGUC
Molecule: ribosomal RNA, 440 nt
Filed under: uncultured bacterium
Lineage: Bacteria
Description: partial 16S ribosomal RNA
Rfam family: Bacterial small subunit ribosomal RNA
Source: RNAcentral